GACGAACGCUGGCGGCGUGCUUAACACAUGCAAGUCGAACGGAAAGGCCCUGCUUUUGUGGGGUGCUCGAGUGGCGAACGGGUGAGUAACACGUGAGUAACCUGCCCUUGACUUUGGGAUAACUUCAGGAAACUGGGGCUAAUACCGGAUAGGAGCUCCUGCUGCAUGGUGGGGGUUGGAAAGUUUCGGCGGUUGGGGAUGGACUCGCGGCUUAUCAGCUUGUUGGUGGGGUAGUGGCUUACCAAGGCUUUGACGGGUAGCCGGCCUGAGAGGGUGACCGGCCACAUUGGGACUGAGAUACGGCCCAGACUCCUACGGGAGGCAGCAGUGGGGAAUAUUGCACAAUGGGCGGAAGCCUGAUGCAGCAACGCCGCGUGCGGGAUGACGGCCUUCGGGUUGUAAACCGCUUUCGCCUGUGACGAAGCGUGAGUGACGGUAAUGGGUAAAGAAGCACCGGCUAACUACGUGCCAGCAGCCGCGGUGAUACGUAGGGCGCGAGCGUUGUCCGGAUUUAUUGGGCGUAAAGGGCUCGUAGGUGGUUGAUCGCGUCGGAAGUGUAAUCUUGGGGCUUAACCCUGAGCGUGCUUUCGAUACGGGUUGACUUGAGGAAGGUAGGGGAGAAUGGAAUUCCUGGUGGAGCGGUGGAAUGCGCAGAUAUCAGGAGGAACACCAGUGGCGAAGGCGGUUCUCUGGGCCUUUCCUGACGCUGAGGAGCGAAAGCGUGGGGAGCGAACAGGCUUAGAUACCCUGGUAGUCCACGCUGUAAACGGUGGGUACUAGGUGUGGGGUCCAUUCCACGGGUUCCGUGCCGUAGCUAACGCUUUAAGUACCCCGCCUGGGGAGUACGGCCGCAAGGCUAAAACUCAAAGGAAUUGACGGGGCCCCGCACAAGCGGCGGAGCAUGCGGAUUAAUUCGAUGCAACGCGUAGAACCUUACCUGGGUUUGACAUGGAUCGGGAGUGCUCAGAGAUGGGUGUGCCUCUUUUGGGGUCGGUUCACAGGUGGUGCAUGCCUGUCGUCAGCUCGUGUCGUGAGAUGUUGGGUUAAGUCCCGCAACGAGCGCAACCCUUGUUCACUGUUGCCAGCACGUUAUGGUGGGGACUCAGUGGAGACCGCCGGGGUCAACUCGGAGGAAGGUGGGGAUGACGUCAAGUCCUCAUGCCCCUUAUGUCCAGGGCUUCACGCAUGCUACAAUGGCUGGUACAGAGAGUGGCGAGCCUGUGAGGGUGAGCGAAUCUCGGAAAGCCGGUCUCAGUUCGGAUUGGGGUCUGCAACUCGACCUCAUGAAGUCGGAGUCGCUAGUAAUCGCAGAUCAGCAACGCUGCGGUGAAUACGUUCCCGGGGCU
RNAcentral lists this ribosomal RNA (1346 nucleotides) under uncultured bacterium. RNAcentral describes it as "bacterial SSU rRNA". It matches the Rfam family "Bacterial small subunit ribosomal RNA", at positions 28 to 1381 of the family's 1533-position model. The record is from RNAcentral.